UUGUUUGUGUGGUCAUGCGGAGCUACCAUGCAGUCGAGCGCUACCUUCGGGUGGAGCGGCGGACGGGUUAGUAACGCGUGGGAAUAUGCCCUUCUCUAUGGAAUAGCCAUUGGAAACGAUGAGUAAUACCAUAUACGCCCUUCGGGGGAAAGAUUUAUCGGAGAAGGAUUAGCCCGCGUUAGAUUAGAUAGUUGGUGGGGUAAUGGCCUACCAAGUCUACGAUCUAUAGCUGGUUUUAGAGGAUGAUCAGCAACACUGGGACUGAGACACGGCCCAGACUCCUACGGGAGGCAGCAGUGGGGAAUCUUAGACAAUGGGCGCAAGCCUGAUCUAGCCAUGCCGCGUGUGUGAUGAAGGCCUUAGGGUCGUAAAGCACUUUCGCCAGAGAUGAUAAUGACAGUAUCUGGUAAAGAAACCCCGGCUAACUCCGUGCCAGCAGCCGCGGUAAUACGGAGGGGGUUAGCGUUGUUCGGAAUUACUGGGCGUAAAGCGUACGUAGGCGGAUCAGAAAGUAGGGGGUGAAAUCCCGAGGCUCAACCUCGGAACUGCCUCCUAAACUCCUGGUCUUGAGUUCGAGAGAGGUGAGUGGAAUUCCAAGUGUAGAGGUGAAAUUCGUAGAAAUUUGGAGGAACACCAGUGGCGAAGGCGGCUCACUGGCUCGAUACUGACGCUGAGGUACGAAAGUGUGGGGAGCAAACAGGAUUAGAUACCAUGGUAGUCCACACCGUAAACGAUGAAUGCCAGUCGUCGGGCAGUAUACUGUUCGGUGACACACCUAACGGAUUAAGCAUUCCGCCUGGGGGAGUACGGUCGCAAGAUUAAACUUCAAAGGAAUUGACGGGGGCCCGCACAAGCGGGUGGAGCAUGUGGUUUAAUUCGAAGCAACGCGCAGAACCUUACCACCCUUGACAUCCUGGUGG
Molecule: ribosomal RNA, 920 nt
Filed under: uncultured bacterium
Lineage: Bacteria
Description: bacterial SSU rRNA
Rfam family: Bacterial small subunit ribosomal RNA
Source: RNAcentral